Molecule: non-coding RNA, 2735 nt
Organism: Danio rerio (zebrafish)
Lineage: Eukaryota; Metazoa; Chordata; Actinopteri; Cypriniformes; Danionidae
Source: RefSeq, a predicted model, not a curated record
UAAUUGCUCACAGGUUUACCUACACAAGCAGAGCUGUUGCCUGAUUGGCUCACACAGCCCAUCGUCUUUGUGUGCAUCAGUGAUGAUUAUAGAUUAGACAUUGGCAAAACGAGAGUGCGACUACCUGGCGUGAAUUUCCCGUUUCAUUCGUCGACGGCCUGUGUCGUGAAGAAGCGAAUAUGACCAUAAGGAAUGUCCGGGACCACGGGCAGCGUUACAGACCGCGGAUGGCAUGCCUGAAGAAGGUAGAAUCUGUGGUGUUGGAGAUGCAGGACCCCAAAACUGGUGUAAAAUGUCAGACACAAAGGCUUGUUAUCACCACCAUACCACAUGCUAUAACAGGGGAAGAUAUUGUGGCAUGGAUUGCUUAUCGAUUCAAAGUAGAUGCUCUGGAGGCCCGAGCUAUGGGCACCAUGAUGGUGGCAUUUGGAUACAUCUAUCCACUACAAGACCAUAAGAGACUUAUCCUUAAACCAGACACAUCCUUGUAUCGCUUUCAGACACCAUAUUUUUGGCCUGCACAGCAAUGGCCGGUGGAAGAUACAGACUAUGCAAUAUAUUUGGCGAAAAGAAAUAUACGCAAGAAAGGGAUGCUGGAGCUGUAUGAACAGGAAGAGUACAACAAUCUUUACAAGUGGAUGAAUCACAAGUGGGAUUUUAUUGUAAUGCAGGCCAAAGAGCAGUACAGGGCAGGUAAGGAGAGGAAGAAACCAGACCGGGUGGUUUUUGACUGUCAGGAACGGGCCUACUGGGUUGUACAUCGGCCACCACCAGGAACAGUUAGUGCCAUGGACUAUGGACAUGAAAGGAUGAUCGACCCCAAUAUGGAGGAGAAAAAAACAUCUGACUACUACAGAAGAAUUAUCAUGUUCACUCAGCAGUGCAUCAUGAGACCAAGGGUAAAGUCAUCUGUGUCAAUUGGAGCAAUUGUUAAGUACUCAACAACAUACAAAGAGCACGACCCCUUUCUCCACCCGUGUCUUCCGAGUAGCCCCUGGUUAACUGAUGAUAUUACAUAUUGGACUCUUAACAUGCCAAAUGUUGAGACCCCUACUAAAAUGAGGGUGGAGCGCUGGACUUUCAGCUUUGGAGAACUGCUGACUGACCAACGAGGAAGGGCUGAUUUCCGACUCUUCCUUAAAAAGGAGUUCAGUGGUGAGAAUCUUGCCUUCUGGGAGGCUUGUGAAGAUCUGAAAUGGGGUGCAGCAGAGACAAUGAAAGAAAAGGCUCAGCAAAUAUACAAGACCUUUUUGGCUCGUGGAGCUCCUCGUUGGAUUAACAUUGAUGGGAAAACAAUGGAAAUAACAGUGAAGGGUUUGGGACACCCUCAUCGUUAUGUACUGGAUGCUGCCCAGACUCACAUUUACAUGCUCAUGAAAAAGGACUCAUACGGGCGAUAUCUCAAGUCCCCGGUGUUUAAGGAAACUCAGAAGAAAGCCAUUGCUCCUGAAGCACACAGAUUCAGUGAGGCGCAGUUGGAGCAGAACGCUAAAAGAAGGCGACCCAGUCUGAGUCCCAUCAUCCUUAGGCAGCAGGAGGAAGAACAGAAGGCCAAACUUGCAGCAAGUGGCCCAGUGGACAUCACACAGGUCAUGAGCAAACUGGAAAAGAAAAAGAAAACCUGAAAGCUAGCACACAAAGGCUAGAUACUGAUAGAAAUAGAAAACUAAAGCAAUUUUGCAAGCCAGUAUAUUUUUAUAGGGAAAAAUAGAGAUUUUAUUUAUUUUUUGCUAUGUGCAGUAUUACUUAAACAUUGUUAGCCUUUGAAAGCUUGCUUAAUUUAUUUUUCUUAUGUCAUUAAUUCAUUCAUUGAACAUCACUGCUAUCAGUCCAUGCAUUGAACUUCCUUGUUAUAAGGCCACUGUGAGUAAAGGUUUUUGCACACUGAAGUCUGACGUUUACUGUACGUAUGCUUUUUUUGUAUUCGUAUCCUGAAACUUGUUCAUGCACAAAGUAACUUACAUAACUUUCACUUUGUUUGUUAGACUGUAAAAUGCUGCGAUUGACAGCAUCCUGGACUUUCGUUUGUUUGGUGAAAAUCAAAUCCGAUAAAGAAAAAAAUUAUUGGUGGAUGAAAGUUUCGGAGGCGGUGUGUAAAUGGGAUUGACACAUCAUGAUGUUGUAUUUAUUUUUUAAUGUGCUAAAAUUUUGGACGAAAUUUUCAGACUCAGUGUGAAAUUAACUUUACUGUUUUCCAGAUUUGUUGACUCUUAGGGUACAUUUACAUGACAGCGACAUCCUAAAAUUGCAAAAGUUUGUUCUUUUAAUAUUUUUAAACUUAAAGAUCUAUGAAAGCGACUGAAAAUAUGUGUUAUGCAUACCAGGCCAGUAGACUGACCCAUUUGAUCAACUGUUAAAAGGAUAGUUCAUUCAAAACUAAUGACUCACCCUUUACUUAAUUUUUUCAUCCUUUACUUAAUUUAAAGCCUUUUAAAGUUUAUUUUGUUAAAGUCAAACGAAAAUAUUUUUAAAGAAAACUGGAAAUCAAUUGCCAUUGAGUUCCAUUAAAUUAUCUUUUUUCCUAUUAUGCAUGUCAAUGGUUACCAAAUUUUCAUCUUUUUUGAAAUAUCUUCUUUUGUGUUCAAGAGAAUAGACGUUUGGUACAACUUGAGGGUGAGAAAACACUCUGCCGGUUCACAGCACCUGUGCCUCAUCUGGCCGUAUAUACAGGCUUUUGUGAAGCACAGUCCACUACCUCCCCAGGCCUCAUGACGCUGCCCAACAGUGCUGCCUGU